RNAcentral lists this ribosomal RNA (465 nucleotides) under uncultured bacterium. RNAcentral describes it as "partial 16S ribosomal RNA". It matches the Rfam family "Bacterial small subunit ribosomal RNA", at positions 28 to 507 of the family's 1533-position model. The record is from RNAcentral.
GACGAACGCUGGCGGCGUGCUUAACACAUGCAAGUCGAACGGAAAGGCCCUGCUUGCAGGGUACUCGAGUGGCGAACGGGUGAGUAACACGUGGGUGAUCUGCACUGCACUUCGGGAUAAGCCUGGGAAACUGGGUCUACUACCGGAUAGGAGCCAUUUUUAGUGUGAUGGUUGGAAAGUUUUUUCGGUGUAGGAUGAGCUCGCGGCCUAUCAGCUUGUUGGUGGGGUAAUGGCCUACCAAGGCGGCGACGGGUAGCCGGCCUGAGAGGGUGGCCGGCCACAGUGGGACUGAGAUUCGGCCCAGACUCCGACGGGAGGCAGCAGUGGGGAAUGUUGCACAAUGGGCGCGAGCCUGAUGCAGCGACGCCGCGGGGGGGAUGACGGCCUUCGGGUUGUAAACGCCUUUCGCUAGGGACGAAGCAUUUUGUGACGGUACCUAGAGAAGAAGCACCGGCUAACUACGUG